UGCGGGAUCGUCUAAUGGUAGGACAGUACCCUUUGAAGGUAUUUAUCGGGGUUCGAAUCCCUGUCCCGCAG
RNAcentral lists this transfer RNA (71 nucleotides) under Candidatus Wildermuthbacteria bacterium RIFCSPLOWO2_01_FULL_47_18. RNAcentral's name for it is "tRNA-Gln". It matches the Rfam family "tRNA". Rfam says of the family: Transfer RNA (tRNA) molecules are approximately 80 nucleotides in length. Their secondary structure includes four short double-helical elements and three loops (D, anti-codon, and T loops). The record is from RNAcentral. Lineage: Bacteria; Candidatus Wildermuthiibacteriota.